Molecule: long non-coding RNA, 3547 nt
Filed under: Panax ginseng (ginseng)
Lineage: Eukaryota; Viridiplantae; Streptophyta; Magnoliopsida; Apiales; Araliaceae
Description: long non-coding RNA (PGIN_LNC009260)
Source: RNAcentral
CCAAAAGGAAGGAAAGUAAGCUUUUUAAUAUGAAAGCGGGAAUUCACUUUUGUUUUUUCGUUGCCUGUAAAGAUUCCUCAGCAUUUUUACCAGCUUUUCUUUUUUCAGGAUCCAAUUUCGGACGCAAUUUUCUUUCAACUGUGUCAUUUGAAGGUGAAACUUGGGACUCGCACGGAACCGCUGCACCUAAUCCAAGCCUACAGAAAUCUCAAAAUAAAAUAAAUUAAUAAUAGUUAUGCAAUGUAGCAUUUUAGCCAUGGACAUGAUCACAUGAAGGAGCAGGUACUGACCUAUGAGGUCGAGCCUUUAAUACUAAUUUAGUUGAUUCAUCCUCUGAAGAUUUUACUCAUAUUUUUGACCCAUUGCUCAGCCUGCAUACAAGUAUCAAGCACACAUAAGCUAUUAAGCUUUAUAGGUCCAGACAUGCUAAUGACAAAAAAUAUGCACACGUAGUAAGAGACAUGAAUGAAUAAUUGGAAUUAUCUUCUGCAUUUCAGAGUUAGAAAGACGACAUAUGGGGGUCCGUUAAUAAAUUUAGGCAUCGGUAUGCUGAGAGGAAUACACAGUCAAGCCGCAUAAUAAUUCCACAGUUUGUGUGCAAAGGAUUGAUUUAUGUCACAAUGAUUUUUAUGGGGAGAAAUAUAUAAAAGGGUUACAAAAAUUAGUAUAAGCAAGUGGGAUAAUAGAGUGUACACUACCCAAAAUGUUGGGACAACGGAGUAUGGUUGGUGUCAAUACGGUCUUGUAGGCUAUACUAGACCAUAGAUGUGUUAUGGGACUGCAUAUCACAUCAUUCUUGUCGAGUUAUUCAACUUCAGUUUUGUCUUAGACGGCGCUUUGAUAAUCUCUACAAGCUACUCAACAACCCUAACUUAUCUUUCUUCAGAAUUUGGCAUAACAUAAAUUUCUUCUUUCUUUUUUGCUACUUCAAAAUUUUCAACUGGCUUAGCCAACUUGUGUAAAAUACUUGAUGUUUGUUCAUACCUAAUAGGCUAAAUAUAAGGAGCGUAACAUUUGGAUGCUUCCACAGACCUAGUCUUUAGGUCAUCAGGUCUUCCAUCAUCCCAUUUCAACUCUUAUCGCAAUCUCAACAAAAAGUCACAGGUAUAGGGUACAUGCCAAGAAGGACGAUCAAUGUUUCUGAUUUGUUCAUCUUCAAAAUGAACUUGAUAGUUCAUGCUCAAGUUGCAUAAUUUGAUUCUCCACUGAAAAUAAGGAAUUUCAUACUGAAAAGCAUAUAGUUUUACUUCAAAUAAUUCAACUUUAUUUUCCAACAACAGAAUUACAUCACUUUAUAGUCAACAUAAGAAAAACCUUAAUUUUUAUAGGGCUUAGGUUACCUAAUUUAAUAAGGAAACUAAUAGAGCUAAUGCUCUUAUUUCAGCAGUAGAUACAUCAGCUGGAGCUGGACAUAAUACAAGCCCAAUUGCAGGGCAUAGCACACGUGCAUAUGCAGCAGCAACAAGGCCCAUUGUGCUGAGAAGCAAAUUGGCACAUGCCUUGACAAUGACAGCAAGGUGCAUAUCAAUUCACGAAAGUGCACCACACAGUAACAAGGCUUAUGUAACAGACUUCUAACUGAAGUUAAUAUACUUGAUCAGAGAGUUAAAUAUUGGGAAUUGUACUGUUAACUAGAGUUAGUGUACGGUUGGUAAAUGUAAUGCUAUAUAUACAUGUAAUAGCUGAUAGGGUUCAAUAUAAUGAAAAUAUCUAGAAUUAAUUUUCUCUUAGCUCUGUCUUCAUUUCACAAUGUUUAUCUUCUGAUUGUUCAUAUCAAUGGAGCUUGAUGAAAUCUUACAGAAACAGACUCCUACUUACUAUUACCAUCUCCUAUAGUUAAAAGAUACGUAAUUAUUACCUAACCCAAAAUAACCUAAUUAUAAUCAUUUUACCCGUAGAUAAUAAUAGGAAAUAAUCUCCUAACAAUCCCUCAUAUUUUCCAGUCUUUGUGUUACGUUCCACAUCAAUUAGUAUUUAAAGCGUACAGAAAAUGGAAUAAACCAUCACAAACAAAAAUCCUAUUGUCGACGAAAUAUUCAAACUUAAUUUUCUUCGAUAGUUUCUUCAUUGCAAACUUGAAACUUACAGUUUAAUAUUGGGAAAAAAAUAUUUAUGUCUAAUUUGAUAGUUUACAUAACUUACCCUGCCUAAAAUGACAUAUGGAACUUUUAUUUGGUAUUUUUGGAUGGGUGAGUAACAUCAACAUUAGUAUAGGAUUCAAAUAAGCAUACAAACCCACAAACAAAAAGAGUAAAUACAAAUAUUUGUAAGUGUAAACCGUUAAGUAAGAAAGGAAUUACCAAUUUGAAAGCCGUACCCAACUUGACCAAUUGAGGAUAGGAAGCUUUCUUGGGAGCCUCAUGUUUUGUGCUCAUCGCAACUUUUUCACCACCUAAGCAUCAAAACUCAAUAUUGGUUUGAUCAAAAUAAUGUUGUAUAUAAACAUAGACCCAUAAAUGUGUUUACACUAUAUAUAUAGCAUGAAUGACAUAUAUCAGGAUAGGGUAAAUAAAGAUAAUCAAAUAUCAGAAAAAAUAAUUGAGAGAGAAAAAGAUGUAACAGGAUAAAAGUAAUGGAUUUGAGAAAUGAUUUGGGGAGAAAAAAGAAACUUUCUGUUAUGUAUCGAGGGGAGAGACUAUUAGGGCUUUGAGAUUGAGAGAAACUGCACAGCUUUAACCCCAACUGACCAACUCCAGUUCUUAUUUCUUUUUCUUUUCUUAGUUUUCAUUUUAUUCUUGGAACUCUGCAUUUUUAUAACCCUAGAGACACCCAUACCCUAAACUUCAACAGCAGUUUUCAAAGACACCUUCAGGUUAUUUGGCCAGCCGAAUCUCAGUCAUAAAAAUAGGUAAACGUUGAGAAAGGACAAGAAGGUGAUUGAACUAGAUAACUUGGACUUGCCAAAUACCCUCCCGAAAAUCAGCCGCCUGGGACUGAUUCCAGUUAUGCUUUUUAUUUUGUCAGACUUUACUAGAAGAGGGAGAAAUCAAUGCCAAAAUCACAACUACUAUUAGUACCAGACCAAGUGCUGCAUUAUUACUACGAUGCUUACAAAAUUCUACAUUGCUUUGUCAAUAAAAAUGACUCCUCGCAAUAACAUUUAACUGGAGUACUAGUGUCAAAAUAACACCGAAAAAAUGAUACCUCAAACAGAAUUAAUCUUCAUAAAUCACAAAAAGAAAACGGUGAAGCCAAGAAUUGCAGCUAUAUUAUUAAAAAUUAAAACUUCGAAUGAUACAUGAAAAAUAAAGACCAAUAAACCAGUUAAACAAAAAAUUGGCAAAUCAAAAAUGGCUUAUUACCUUUUGAUGAUUAUUCUGAAAUGAUGAGAAAAAGCAAAUUACUAGAGGGUAUGAAUCCUAAUGAGAGUUAAUGGAAACGCAGAGGGAUCAGAGUUGAUCGGAAAAGCUUUUGAUUAAUCUUUCCGGCGUACGGUCGGCGUAAUUAAACUGUUGACAGAGAAACAGAAAAGGACGCUGAUGAUGAAGUCGUUUUGAAAUUCUCAGCUUGUGAUUUAUUUAAUGCGCUUUUGAUCCUCAUUUUUCUC